UAGGGAUUGUUUCUCAGACUCAAGUUAGAAGUUUGAAUUCAGAUAAGUGAGGCUGACAUUGCUGCUUUGAACACCUCAGAAGGGGAGAAUGGAUUCAUCAGAAGUGAAAAAGAAGAGCUUGCUAGGAGUCAAAGCAAAUAAAAAGUCCAGCUCUCGGGCUCCUUCUACCAAACGCAAGAACAGAAGUCCAAGGAUCGCUCUAAAGAUAUAGGCAGGGGCCGCUAAAGAGUCAAGUGAGAAGGGUCGUGGCAGAGAUAAGAGUUGGAAGAGACACAGUGCCUCAAGUGGAAGCAGCAGCCCCAGGUCUAGGUCCAGCUUCAGCUCCAGGACCAGCACUUGCUCAAGUAGUGGCUCUAGCUCCUCCUCUGCAUCCCGCAGCUCCACCCCUCCGUCCCUCCGGAAGCUCCCGUUCUAGCAGCUCCUCGGGCUCCCCAAGCCCUUCUCCUUGCAGGCAUGACAACAGGCAGUGUUCUGGCUCCAAAUCCAAACCACCCAAAAGAGAUGAAAGAGAGAGGAAAAGGCGGAGCCCUUCACCUAAACCUACCAAAGUGCACACUGGGAAGCUCAUCAGGAAUUCGAUCGGGAAUUCCAGGAUCAUAUCAUGGAAACGUUUUCUACUUACGGGAAAAUGAAAAUGAUUGACAUGCCUAUAGAAAGGAUGCAUCUUUAUCUACCCAAAUCUAUGCAUAUGUGGAAUUUAGCAGUCCAGAUGAAGCAGAGGAUACACAUGGAUAGAGGACAAUUGAUGGCCAAGAGAUCACUGCUAUUGCAGUGUUGGCACCCGGCCUCAGCCACCUCGACCAGGGGUAUGCUUCCACCACCUCCUAUGUGUCGCAGGUCACCCCCACGGGUGAGGAGCGCAGGUCCCUGUUCAUAGGAGGUCUCCAUCUCCAGGCUGCCUCUGCCACAGGAGCUGUUCCAGCUCCAACUCCUCCUAA
Molecule: RNA transcript, 938 nt
Organism: Mastomys coucha (southern multimammate mouse)
Lineage: Eukaryota; Metazoa; Chordata; Mammalia; Rodentia; Muridae
Gene name: RNA-binding protein with serine-rich domain 1 pseudogene
Exons: 1
Source: RefSeq, a predicted model, not a curated record